GACGAACGCUGGCGGCGCGCCUAACACAUGCAAAUCGAACGAGGUCUUUUGAGAAAGCUUGCUUUCUUGGCUGACCUAGUGGCGGACGGGUGAGUAACACGUGAGCAACCUGCCUUUCAGAGGGGGAUAACGUUUGGAAACGAACGCUAAUACCGCAUAACGUAUCGGAGUGGCAUCGCUUUGGUACCAAAGGAGAAAUCCGCUGGAAGAUGGGCUCGCGCCCGAUUAGGUAGUUGGUGAGGUAAUGGCUCACCAAGCCGACGAUCGGUAGCCGGACUGAGAGGUUGAGCGGCCACAGUGGGACUGGGACACGGCCCAGACUCCUACGGGAGGCAGCAGUGGGGGAUAUUGCACAAUGGGGGAAACCCUGAUGCAGCGACGCCGCGUGAGGGAAGAAGGUUUUCGGAUUGUAAACCUCUGUCUUUGGGGAAGAGUAGAAGACGGUACCCAAGGAGGAAGCCACGGCUAACUACGUGCCAGCCGCCGCGGUAAAAC
This 495-nucleotide ribosomal RNA is filed under the name uncultured bacterium. RNAcentral's name for it is "bacterial SSU rRNA". It matches the Rfam family "Bacterial small subunit ribosomal RNA", at positions 28 to 526 of the family's 1533-position model. The record is from RNAcentral.